AAAAAGGGAAGUAGGUAAAUAAAUACUUUUGAUUGAUUAUAAACUUGACUAGCCAUGUUACAAUAUUGUUUCAUAAGGCAUCAUAGAGUUAGGACAAUUAUAUGGUGCUGAUUUCCUUAGAGGUUCUUGUUUGUUGGGCUUGAAAAAUGAAAGAUAUAAGGAGAUGAAUUUAGUUGUUUGUUGUGCUUGAAGGCAUUUGUUUUGCCAAAGUGGAUUUUUACUGUGAUUUGUUCUAAAUAAUAAAAGAAAAAUGAAGAGGUUAAAUUGAUAUUCGGAUUAGCCUGCUCUUAGUUUCAUUGUGUCCGAAGUUGCAAAUGAUCUUGGAACCUGGAACACUCACUCUUUGUAAUGAGAUUUUCAGUUUGUGAUUUGGAGUCUGGCCACUCUUUCACAAUAUUUUAUGCUGUAGUUUUGUUUGAGUCUCAAAGUUGGUGAUUUGUUAAUGUCAAUCUUGAUCUAUUUCAGUGCAAAGUAAAAAAGAUUGUCUGUUUGCUAUUUUGAGGUCAUUCAUGGAUCCUGUCAGAACAUCAGCAUUAAACUAUUGAAGAAUAUGAACUUUAAUGCCUUCUCUUCAUCUUUGGUAAUCAAACUUUGAGUUGCUCCUUUGGGAAGUCAUUGGUCAUGAAUUUUCAUUUAGAUUGUAUUCAAACUGCUAAAAAGUAAAUAAUUGGCUGAAAUAGUUUCAGUGUUUAGAAUUAUGUGGUAAUUGAGGGAAGUGAAUAUGACAUUAACAAAUCACCAACCCCCAAUGCAACUCUCAAUGAGAUAAAAGGAAGAAAGUGGAUAUAAAAGUUUCAAAAAUAAUUCUCUCAGAAAGGUGCAGUGUGGAAUGUGGUAUUUAUUUGAGAUAAAAGGAAGAGUUACUAUGUGAUCAUCUCAAAACGGCCACCACA
Molecule: unclassified non-coding RNA, 893 nt
Filed under: Hevea brasiliensis (rubber tree)
Lineage: Eukaryota; Viridiplantae; Streptophyta; Magnoliopsida; Malpighiales; Euphorbiaceae
Source: RNAcentral